UACCAGCUCUCCGAGUGGUAGGGAUGAUUAUUGGGCUUAAAGCGUCCGUAGCCGGCUUAGCAAGUCUCCUGUUAAAUUCAGCGACCUAAUCGUUGAGCCGCGGGAGAUACUACUAGGCUAGGAGGCGGGAGAGGUCAACGGUACUUCCGGGGUAGGGGUGAAAUCCUAUAAUCCCGGGAGGACCACCAGUGGCGAAGGCUGUUGACUAGAACGCGCUCGACGGUGAGGGACGAAAGCUGGGGGAGCGAACCGGAUUAGAUACCCGGGUAGUCCCAGCUGUAAACGAUGCGAGCUAGGUGUUGGGGUGGCUACGUGCCACUUCAGUGCCGCAGGGAAGCCAUUAAGCUCGCCGCCUGGGGAGUACGGCCGCAAGGCUGAAACUUAAAGGAAUUGGCGGGGGAGCACCACAAGGGGUGAAGCUUGCGGUUU
RNAcentral lists this ribosomal RNA (429 nucleotides) under uncultured archaeon. RNAcentral describes it as "bacterial SSU rRNA". It matches the Rfam family "Archaeal small subunit ribosomal RNA", at positions 474 to 903 of the family's 1478-position model. The record is from RNAcentral.